This 216-nucleotide unclassified non-coding RNA is filed under the name Hevea brasiliensis (rubber tree). The record is from RNAcentral. Lineage: Eukaryota; Viridiplantae; Streptophyta; Magnoliopsida; Malpighiales; Euphorbiaceae.
UCCAUAUCAUUGUCAAUUUUGAUGGGAAGUUCGCACUGCUUGAUAGCAGUUUCCUGUAGUUGUAAUGCAAACUCAAGACCCCAAACCACAUCGCUCAUUGAUGGUCUUUCCACUCCAUUGUCGAGCAAGCAACCGAUUGCAACCUCAGCGAAUUUUCUCAGGCAAUCGGGUGCAAUCUUUCCUUGUAGAUAUGGAUCAAUUAUGUCAUCAAAUGUC